Molecule: long non-coding RNA, 202 nt
Filed under: Mytilus galloprovincialis (Mediterranean mussel)
Lineage: Eukaryota; Metazoa; Mollusca; Bivalvia; Mytilida; Mytilidae
Source: RNAcentral
AUUUUUUUUCAUUGGAAACCAAUUUUCGUGGAUUUCGUGAGAACAGUUGGACCACGAAAUAAAAUGUUCAACGAAUACAAAAUUUUCUAUAGGCUUGUUUGCAUACUUCAGCAAAACCACGAAAUUAAAUAUCCACGAACAUGUAAGUUUUCCUCAAGCCACGAAAAUUGGUUCCCACGAAAAUAAAUGAAUCCACAGUAUA